CUUCCCAUCCAAGUAAUACAUAUAUGAAAUUUUAUAUUUGAAGCACAAACUGUUAAUGCGUCUGUCGAGAUAUCACCUUUCUAAUUUCGAUAUCUAAGUCUAUAUUUGACAUUCACAGUUACUAGAAAUGAGUUCCAUUAGUAUAACUCUAGUAAAUAUAUAUAUAUGUUAUUAAAUUUUAUAAUUUAACAAUUUUUUUUGUGAAAAUGACUGAUAUUAAUAUUAACAGGCUUAAAAGGAGUAGCUAAAAGGCCACCAAAACAGACAAAAAAGAAAAUCACAACUGUCCAAUAUAAAAGAAAAUUAAAAACUACGCCUAGAAAGUAACGAAACAUCAAUAAGCAAAAAAUGCGUGAGCCUGCAACAAAACUUUUCAAUCUCCAUUAUCAGCCACAGCAGGGCUCCAUUUCCUUCGUAUUAUCGAUCAGAGACCCAGAGCCAGCAACGCUUUGCAAACAAUAUUAGAGAUUCAAUGAACCUUCUCUAACUCAAAGCGAACAUAUGGAACUUAGGUCCGUUGGCACCAUCGUAACCAGUCUUCCUCCACCACCAGUCGCACAGUCUCCGGUAUUCCAUUAACCCAGGCCCCACACACUUUCCGAUGUCGACUUUCCACUGCCAAAAUAUGGGCUACAGCGUUAAGCGGACGGUUCACAAACUUGUAAGAGACUUCAUCAAAGCCCUGGCGCAAUCUAUGAAUAUUAUGAACAAUCGACCUAAUAAUCGAUCUAUCUUCCUCAUUUUUAAUCAGUUUUUUAAUGACUGUCAGGGAGUCCCCUUCCACAAUCAACCGUUGAAAGCCCUUCAAUUUUGCGAGGAUCAGCGCUCUUUCACAAGCUCGUGCUUCCGCCACGAAUGCGUCAUCCACACCUUCCACCAGAUAAGUAACUGCUUCUAUAACUUCCCCUCUGUGAUUUCUGGCUAAGAUUGCUAUUGUCGCAAAAUUAUUUCCUGAAAUAUACGACGCAUCAAAAUUAAUUUUAAUAAAACCAUAGUCAGGAGGCCUCCAGACUUCAUUUCUCAUAAGAGCAGUAGAAUCACAUAGAUUCUCACGAACAAGCCAUGGAUCUCGCUCAUAGCCCCUGAUAAAUCCCAAUAGUUGUGGCAUAGAAAGCUUAAUCCCCUCAUGAACCAACUUAUUUCUAUGAAACCAGAAACACCAAAGAGUUAAAGCAAUAAACCUUUUUUUCGACCUUCUGCUUCAAGAUAUGUUUUAACAAAAUUAGCCUUAUAAUCCAGGGAAUCGUCCAAAGGGGGAAUUUGAACUUGCAACGAUGUCCAUAUAUUUCGAAGGACCCUACAAGACCCCAACAAAUGCGCUGUGGUUUCUAGAUCUUCCUUACACAGUGGGCAUACAGCCUCCUCACAUAGUGUUCGGCGUGCCAAGUUCCCAUAGUGUGGCACCAUGUUAUUGAACAAUCUCCAAACAUGUAUUUUUAUUUUCUCUGGAAUAUGCAAAGCCCAGAUAUCCAUGUAAAAACUUUUGUAUUAUUCAUUUGUAGAGGACAUGUGUAGAUUGCUCUGUAAAUAAUCUGUAAUAAGAACUCGAUACCCACUCCUGACAGUAUACUCACCUGAGCCUUCAUACUUCCAUACCAACAUAUUCUCUGGUCGGCUUUCAGAGAUGGGAAUGUCAAAGAUUCGAUUAGCAGUGUUAUCAUCCACUAGAUUGUGAAUCAACUCUCUAUUCCAGGUACUGUCUUCUUCAUUCAUUAACUAAUUCACUGUUGACCAAGGAGGCUUAAUUUCAAUAACUGGGAUUCUGUUAUUCUCUCUUCCAGGCAGCCAGGGGUCAUUCCAAAUGUUGAUACUUGCACCAUUUCCUACACGCCACAAGAUUCCAUCACUGAUCAGGUCCCGCGCACUACAAAUACUUCUCCAAGUAAAUGAAGGGUAAGAACCAACCUUUGCUGUUAGUAUAGUGGAAAGAGGGAAAUAACGGGCUUUUAAAACCUUGGCUAAUAAACAAUGGGGCUAGGUUAAAAUACGCCACACCUGCUUCGUUAAAAGGGCCUUAUUAAACAAGAAUAAAUUUUUAAACCCCAGCUCUCUAAAACUUUUCGGUUUAUACAGAACAUCCCACGAACUCCAAUGAAUCCCCUUCGAUGUUUUAUUAUUCGUCCACCAGAAUCGAUUCAUUAUUCCUUCCAAUGUUUUACAUAAUGACUUUGGCAAUAAAAAACACUGCAUAGCAUAAAUUGAAGUUGACUGCAAAACUGAUUUAAUGAAAACCUCCUUAUCCCCCAUUGAAAGAUAACGCAUACUCCACCCCUCCACCCAUUUUCUGAAUCGGUCCACAAAGUUAGCAAAAGCCCACUUUUUCCUCCUACCCACCAUCAUAGGCAAACCGAGAUACUUUUCAGGAUUUGAGGCCAGACGUACCCUUAAUAAAUUAACAAUAUCCUUCUGAACACUAGAGACGACAUUUGUAGCGAAAUAAAUGAGGGAUUUUUCAAAAUUCACUCUCUGCCCCGAGACCGUCUCAUAUUCAUGGAUAAUAGCCCGAACCACUUCAGCUCCUUCACAGGAGGCAUCACCAAAAAGAAUGCAAUCAUCUGCAAAAAAUAAGUGGUUGACCGAAAACUUCUCUCUACCUAUAGGUGCCCCCAUCAUCAUCCAUUUAGUUUUAGCUUCCUGAAUGAGCAGCGAAAACCCUUCAGCACAAAUCAAGAAUAAAUAAGGACUAAGAGGGUCUCCUUGUCUGAGUCCUCUCGAUGGUGUGAACCAGUCCCCGCUAGCUCCAUUAAUACUAAUAGAGUACGUGACAGAGCAUACACAACGCAUGACAAGAACGAUCCAAUCCUCAUGAAAACCCAGGUGCUUCAUCAUACCUGCCAAAAAAUCCCAUUCCACACGAUCAUACGAUUUACUCAUAUCUAGUUUAAACGCAAAGUUGUCUUUCUUACCUCUCUUUUUCAUUUUUAGGGAAUGAAGUAUCUCAUAAGCAAUCAGUACAUUAUCAGAUAUAAGCCUACCUGGAAUAAAGGCCUUUUGAGCUUCAUUAAUACAAGACCCCAGUGUUUCGCUCAUCCUCAAUACCAACACUUUUGCUAUAAUUUUGUAAAUGACAUUACAAAGCCUGAUAGGCCUAAAAUGAGUCAUGUUACUCGAUUUUUCAACCUUUGGAAUCAGGAUAAUGCGCGUUUUGUUAAUAACACUCAAAUCCUCUUGUCCCUGUAGAACGGAUAAACAAAAGCGGGUAACCUCAGGCCCAACAAUGUGCCAAUAACGCUGAAAGAAGAGGGCCAGAAACCCAUCCAACCUAGGGGCUUUCAAAGGCGUCAAGGAUUUGACUGCAUAGACAAUGUCCUCCUCCGUAAAUUGUCUUAAGAGCCUUUCAUUCAUACUACUAGUAACUUUUUCCUCUACUAAGCUAAACAAAUGCUCAUCCGAACCUGACUCUGAAGCAGAGAAAAGCUUACCAAAAUAGUCAGAAGCUACCUGGAGGAACUCCUCAGUGGAAUUAGUACUUCUCCCAGCUCCAUCUUCUAGUUCAGAAAUUCUACAACGAAAGUGACGUUGGACAGCUACCUUGUGAAAAAAGCUGGUAUUACGAUCCCCAUUCUUUAGCCAAUUCACCCACGCACGCUGCUCCUAAAAUAAUUCCUCCUUUUCAGCUUCCAACUUAACCCCCAAUUGGACCUCUAUAAUCUCAGCUAGAACUUCAUCUGACGGAUCUUGAGUGUAAAGAUUCAUUAAUCUGUCUUCUAAACGGAACCGAUUCCUCCGCUCCUUAAUACUAUUCACCUUGCUCCAUUUUAGUAUUUGAGAACCCAUUUUCUCCAACUUACUCAGUACACCUCCAGAUUUUUUUCCCAUCAUCUCCUAAUCAUGCCUUCAAAUGAGCCCUCUAAACACCACUUAGCCUCAAAUCGAAAAGACUUCUCAUACUUAUUUUGACGGUUCUAUACUCCCCCUAGAGUAUCCAGAAGAAUAGGGCAAUGGUCAGAAAACGAGUGACUCAAAUGUUCCAGACGAUAUCCAGGAAAAGUAUUCAUCCAGCUCAAUGAAGCAACACCACGAUCCAGACGUUCCCUUAGAUUAGUCGAUGCAUAUCGUCCUCGUUCCCAUGUGAACCAUCUGCCAACAAAGCCUAAAUCAUUAAGGCAACAAUCUUCGAGAACCCCGCGAAAAUCCCUCAUUUGUCCAAUUGGUCUGAGGCGACCACCCUUAUUCUCAAAGGAAUCCAUAAUUUCGUUGAAAUCCCCCAUCACCACCCAAGGCAUAUCCUGAUCUUGAUCUUGAUGCAACUGGCGUAGCAAAUUCCGCGAAUCACCUCUGCGUCUUCCAUCUGGAUGCCCAUAGAAACCAGCGAACCUCCAAACAUUUCCACACUCAUUAUCAUGUACCUCUGCGUCUUUCAAAUAUUUCCUUUCCAACCUAACGACAAACCCCCUUUCGUACCAACUGGACCAAUAUCGAUGUUAUUCUCAAAACCGUACUUUAAUCUUACCAACUCCAUUUUCUUUGAACAUAAUUUCAUCUUUAUAAGAAACAAAAUUCGGGGAUUAAUGGCUCUUAACUUGUUUUUUAGCCUUAUAACUGUUCGUGGUCUCCCCAAACCACGAACGUUCCAACUUAGGAUUUUCAUCGAGCCCGGUUGCUCUGAUUUUCAGAGCUAGCCGAAACAUUCAUAGAUCCAGAUCCCACAUUAGCAUCCAACAGAACACGUGACCUAUCCACUAUUCGCUGUCGCUUUUUCCCCUCAGACAACUCUAAUGACUCAUUUUUCUCCUCCAAAUCCAACUCCAUUUCCCCCUGAACGAUCCCAUUUGCAGUCAAAUUAUCUAUACACCCAUCUCGCUUCUGAACAAUUCUACCACUGCCUUGAAUUGGAUCAGGACCUAAAGGAAUUAGAUUAGGAUUUAAGUUCCUACCAGAAUCCCUUGCAUUACCAUACAUGACGCCUGCCAAAUUUUCCUCACUAUACGGAGAUCCAUCUAUUGCCCGCAGCCACCUACUUAUCGCCACAUUUCGACGCCUGACCACAGCACGCAGCGAUAAAUCCCAGCCAAAGACUAUUUUUGACGGUUCAAUAGUCAGUCUAAUAGGGCAGUAACUUUCCCCGUGCCCGAGUUUUCCGCAAAUAAAGCAAAAUAAACUUAAUUUCUCAUACUUAAAUCUAGCAUAAACCACCAUAGAUUUCCCUAUCAAAACUUUCUUUUUUCACUUCAACAGGGCAGCAACAUUUAAACAGAUACGAAUACGCAUAUAAUGUUGAAUUCCCAAAGUCGGGAUGUGUAACACCCCUUAACCCCGAACCGUCGCCGGAACAGAAUUACGAGGCAUUACCGGACGUAUCGAACGAUUUACAACAAUUCUUAAAUAAAUAACCAAUAUAUUAAAAUAAUUCAUAAAAUUUAUUAAUUUGUUUACCAAAUGACUUCAUUUUUUUUUAUAAAAAUUUCGGCAGCAUUUCUGCUUAUUUUUACAUAAACCCCCCUGCAAAUUAAAACCAUAUAGUUCCCAAAUAUCAUCAAUUCAACCAAUUCAUUUCACAUUCACAUUUUCUAUUCUAAAUACUUCUAAUCAAACUCAAUCUACACAAUAUCAAUUUAAAAUUUAACAAUGUACUAAUUAGAUAAAAUAGAUAGACUUCUUUCAUUAAAAUCCAUAAACUUUUAAUACUAACAUUUUUAACCAUUAUAUAAUAAAACAUAAUAACCUUUAUACACAAUCUAUGUACAUGCCACCUUUACCAAAGGAAAAAUACAUCACCAAGUUUUGCCGAAGCCGGGAUUAAUCUGGAUGCUGAACCGGGACCAUUGACUUCUAUUGACCUGCGCACGGAAACAACCGUACGCUGAGUAAUCCAUACUCAGUGGUAUUACCAUAAUUCAAAUUAUAACAAUAAUGUACAUGUAAUGCAUAAAUCGUAUAUACAAUUUAAAUUAAAUAUUUCAACAAUAGCAAUUCAUCAACCAAUAUCGUAUAUCCACAAUUUGAGUUUGAAUAAUUCACGAACCUUAGGUUCAUUUCUCAAUCUUAUUUCACAUUUCAAUUCACAAUUCAACUUUUUCAUAUCAUUUCAAUAGCUCGUUUGACCAACUCGUUCGGUUUAUCAUUUCAUCAUUUACCCUAUUAACAAAACUCGGACUUUGGCGGAUACACGGAUCCAACCAAACACACCAGAAUGGCACCCAGUGCCUCAUCGGAUAGUUCGAAGCAAUAGUUGACACCCAGUGUCUCAUCAGCAAAGCCGAAGAAAGUUGGUACCCAGUACCUCAUCGAAUCUAUCCGAAGAAAUAUAGUGACACCCAGUGUCUCAUCGACUCGAGGUCGAAGUAUCCCUGAACUCUUCCAAUCCUAUGGCAUGCCAACUAUAUCCGACUCAGCCCGACUAGUUAAUAGGGUAUUUAAAUCACAUAUAUUCUCAAUUCAAUUACAAUUUUUCACAUUUUCAAUUCAAUCAUUUUUCCACCUUUCAAUCAAUAAUUAUUUCACAACUUCACACAUUUUCACAACUCAAUACAUUUCCAUACAACUUAAUACCAUUCACAAUUCGAUUCAAAUUCAUUUCCCGCUUUCAAUCAACAAACAAUUUAAAUAUUAUUUCAUAUCAACUAUUCAAUUUAAUUCCCACUCAUAAUAAUAAUAAUAAUACUAAUAAUAAUACUAAUACUAAUAUUAAUACUUACCUCACAUUUCAUUUACUAGACACAUAAAUUAAAAUUUAACAUUAAAAAAAUAAAUAAUUUGAAUUAUAGUAAUACAAACCGUAAUUUUCUCGAGUUUACUCCUCGAUAAUCUUCUCUUUUCCCUUCCGUGCCGACGCUUCUGGUUCUUUGCUAGCUACGAAAAUGAUAAUAAUUUAUACUAUUAAUUUCAGCACUAAUUAUGAUAAUAAUUAAAUUUCUAUUCAAUUUCUUCCUUAUUCUCAAUUUAAUCCUAACUAAAUUCACUUACUUUCCUAAUUCAAUUCACACUCUAUUUCUAUUCAAAUUUCAUCCAAACUAAAAUUUAACUAUCAAAAUUUCAGCAUAUUUUGGUAAUUUUGAAUUUCCCUCAAUUUAGUCCCUAAAACAUAAAACUUAUAGUUUCUUUUAUAAUUUAAUCCCUUUUUCAAUUCUAACUUAAAAUUCCUUCAAGUUAAUCCCUAAUUCAUCUCUUUUGUUCAACAUAAACUAUACUUGAAAACCUAUGAACUUACAAAAUAUCAACUUAAUUCCAUCAAAACUUUGUUUUAAAGCUUUUAGAACAUUAGAAUUAAGAGGAAAGGGCUAAUUUGACUUACCAAAUUAAAUUCAAGCUUCAAAAACCAUAUUUUCCCUUUUUCUUUUUCUUUCUUUCUUUCUCCCCUGUUUCGUCUCUUUCUCUGUUCCUUUGUUCUUUCUAUUCUGUUUCUUUUCUGUUUUGUUUCUUUCUUUUUCUUUUUAUUUCCUUUUAUUUAAUUACUUUAAUAUAAUAAUAAUUAAAACAAAUAUCUACUUAGUAAUUAAUAAAAAUAUUAAAAAUGUAUGUAUUUUAUUAAUACACUUGUAUUAAAUUAUCACCAUACAUUUUUCUUUAUUUAAUUUAUUUCUUAAUAUAAUAUUUAUAAUGUAAUUAAUUUAAUAUUAUACUUUAUAAUUAAUUUAUAUAUUUAUAUAAAUAAUAAUAUAAAAAUCUAAGAUUUUUACAAUGUUAUGCCGCCUCAACUUCCAAAUGUGGCUUAAUUGCCCAUUUGGUCCCUAUUAUUUUCCUUUAAUCUAUAAUUAUGCUUUCACUCUUUAUUCAAUUUAAUCCUUUUUACUAAUUACUCAUAAUUAAACUAAAUUCACCUAUCUAAAACUUAAUUAAACACACAACUAGUCUCGUAAAUAUUUCUAAUAAUUAUUUUCGGACUCAAUUUACUAGGACGGAGGCCCGAUAUUAUACUUUUCCGAUGCCCAUGAAUUUUGGGUCAUUACAUUUCUCCCCCUCUUAAUAAAUUUCGUCCUCGAAAUUUACCUGAGAAGAGAUGAGGAUAUUGUGCUCUCAUUGCCUCUUCCGGUUCCCAAGUUGCUUCUUCCACACUAUGGCUUCUCCAUAAAACUUUUACUAAAGGAACCCGUUUAUUUCUUAAUUCUUUCACUUCUCGUGCUAAUAUUUGAACUGGU
Molecule: long non-coding RNA, 8078 nt
Filed under: Gossypium barbadense (sea-island cotton)
Lineage: Eukaryota; Viridiplantae; Streptophyta; Magnoliopsida; Malvales; Malvaceae
Description: long non-coding RNA (GBAR_LNC019531)
Source: RNAcentral